CGGUUGAUCCUGCCGGACCUUACUGCUAUCGGGGUGGGACUAAGACAUGCGAGUUGAGCGUCUCUAGCUAUGUUGAGACGCAGCAGACGGCUCAGUAACACGUGGCUAACCUACCCUCAGGACGAGGAUAAACCCGGGAAACUGGGGCUAAUACUCGAUAGGUGAGGAUGUCUGGAAUGACUCCUCACCCAAAGGGCCUUGGGAACAUGCUUCCAUGGUCGCCUGGGGAUGGGGCCGCGUCCGAUCGGGUUGUUGGUGAGGUAACAGCUCACCAAGCCUAUAACCGGUACGGGCCGUGAGAGCGGUAGCCCGGAGAUGGGUACUGAGACAAGGACCCAGGCCCUACGGGGCGCAGCAGUCGCGAAAACUCCGCAAUGCACGAAAGUGUGACGGGGCUACCCCGAGUGCCAUCCGCUGAGGAUGGCUUUUCUUUGGUAUAACUAGCCAUGGGAAUAAGGAGAGGGCAAGACUGGUGUCAGCCGCCGCGGUAAUACCAGCUCUCCGAGUGGUAGGGAUGAUUAUUGGGCUUAAAGCGUCCGUAGCCGGCUUAGCAAGUCUCCUGUUAAAUUCAGCGACCUAAUCGUUGACCCGCGGGAGAUACUACUAGGCUAGGAGGCGGGAGAGGUCGACGGUACUUCUGGGGUAGGGGUGAAAUCCUAUAAUCCCGGGAGGACCACCAGUGGCGAAGGCAGUCGACUAGAACGCGCUCGACGGUGAGGGACGAAAGCUGGGGGAGCGAACCGGAUUAGAUACCCGGGUAGUCCCAGCCGUAAACGAUGCGAGCUAGGUGUUGGGAUGGCUACGUGCCAUUUCAGUGCCNCAGGGAANNNNAUUAAGCUCGNCGNCUGG
RNAcentral lists this ribosomal RNA (849 nucleotides) under uncultured archaeon. Its description in RNAcentral is "bacterial SSU rRNA". It matches the Rfam family "Archaeal small subunit ribosomal RNA", at positions 5 to 831 of the family's 1478-position model. The record is from RNAcentral.